This 1297-nucleotide long non-coding RNA is filed under the name Gallus gallus (chicken). RNAcentral's name for it is "lncRNA (ENSGALG00010006199.1)". Lineage: Eukaryota; Metazoa; Chordata; Aves; Galliformes; Phasianidae. The record is from RNAcentral.
AGCAAAGACAAAGCUGAAAUAAACUGAAUAAUAAAAUAAAGUAAAAUAAAAUAAAAUAAAAUAAAAUAAAAUGAAUAAAAUAAAAAAAAAUCUGAUUGAAUUGGAAUGUGCUUGUUAGUCUAAAUACAUAAAGAGCAUCACACUCUACAAGUAUGUGAAAGGAGAUUGUGGUGAGAUGGGAGUCGGCCUAUUCUCCCAGGUAACAGCAAUAGGAAUGGACUCAAGUUGCAUGAAGAGAGGUUCAGGUUGGAUAUCAGGAAGAAUUUCUUUUUAGAAAGAGUGGUGAGGUAUUGAACAGGCUGCCCAGGGAGGUGGGGAAGACAUCGUCCCUGGCUGUGUUUAAGGAAAGUGUAGAGGUAGUACUUAGGGACAUGGAUUAGUGGGCAAUAUUGGUGGUAAAUGAAUGAUUGGACUAGGUGAUAUUGAAGAUCUCUUCCAACCUUAAUGAUUCUACGAUUCAAUGAUUUACAGGUCCUUGUGAGAGCCCUUCUUUGUCUUCUGUCUCAAAGCUUGCUUCCUGAGGUAUUCCUUGUGAUAAGACUCUUAACUGAUUUAUGGAGGUGGCAAAUGAUGGGUGCUACCGUGUGACAAUCAACAUCACUUUGACAUUUGAAAGCACCUUCCUCCAGAGCUGCUUGCCUCCGGAAGAGAGUGCUCAGGAGUGGUUACUGGCGGAAGAUCUGGCCUAAUAGCCCCAGCUUGGUGUGGGAAAACUGGGGAACAAUACCAUCGUGCCCUGUGAGAAACAGGAUGCAGAUGGGCAUCCCUGCUUCCUCUUAUCUGUUGGCAAGGCCCGGAAGAUGAUAACAAAGGAAUUUCUGCUGAGAUCCCAGAGCCAGUAGCUGCCACUCCAAGGAGAGCUGACUCAACCAAUUUGGACUUACAAAUAAGUUUGUACUGCCAUCGUUGUCGUGUUCGCUGCUGUGGUCACCACUGUCAACAAAAGACUCGACGACCCACCACUACUGAAAAUCAAUGACUGAACUACGAACCACGUUGGACUAUGGUGAAAGUGAAAAGCAGCAAGUGAAACAAUGCAUUGUACAAAAGAAGCUACUGAGACAAACAUUUAAGAUCUUAUCAAACACAGAUCUAAGGCUUAUUCUCGGUGAUGCAUUGAGACUACAAGCAGUGACAGAGACUGAACUAGGCUGACCACUGUUCUGGAGCCUACAGUGAGGAUCCACAGCAAAGAUGUGGAGCUUGCAAAUCACAUGGACACAGAGAGACUUCUGUGAGAAAUUGAACAGAUCAGUCAAAUUCCAGAGAUUAUGGAAAGAGUCUUAAUACAGAGAGG